RNAcentral lists this ribosomal RNA (686 nucleotides) under Vibrio sp. A5(2011). Its description in RNAcentral is "bacterial SSU rRNA". It matches the Rfam family "Bacterial small subunit ribosomal RNA", at positions 818 to 1502 of the family's 1533-position model. The record is from RNAcentral. Lineage: Bacteria; Pseudomonadati; Pseudomonadota; Gammaproteobacteria; Vibrionales; Vibrionaceae.
UGGAGGUUGUGGCCUUGAGCCGUGGCUUUCGGAGCUAACGCGUUAAGUAGACCGCCUGGGGAGUACGGUCGCAAGAUUAAAACUCAAAUGAAUUGACGGGGGCCCGCACAAGCGGUGGAGCAUGUGGUUUAAUUCGAUGCAACGCGAAGAACCUUACCUACUCUUGACAUCCAGAGAACUUUCCAGAGAUGGAUUGGUGCCUUCGGGAACUCUGAGACAGGUGCUGCAUGGCUGUCGUCAGCUCGUGUUGUGAAAUGUUGGGUUAAGUCCCGCAACGAGCGCAACCCUUAUCCUUGUUUGCCAGCGAGUAAUGUCGGGAACUCCAGGGAGACUGCCGGUGAUAAACCGGAGGAAGGUGGGGACGACGUCAAGUCAUCAUGGCCCUUACGAGUAGGGCUACACACGUGCUACAAUGGCGCAUACAGAGGGCGGCCAACUUGCGAAAGUGAGCGAAUCCCAAAAAGUGCGUCGUAGUCCGGAUUGGAGUCUGCAACUCGACUCCAUGAAGUCGGAAUCGCUAGUAAUCGUGGAUCAGAAUGCCACGGUGAAUACGUUCCCGGGCCUUGUACACACCGCCCGUCACACCAUGGGAGUGGGCUGCAAAAGAAGUAGGUAGUUUAACCUUCGGGGGGACGCUUACCACUUUGUGGUUCAUGACUGGGGUGAAGUCGUAAAGGGGGUAACCA